AGCAAAGGGCGGCCGAACAGCCCCGCCGAACCAUCAAUGAGAUCUUCUGGGAGUUAAUUAUGCUGUAACUCUUUUGCUGUUUGGAGCUCAUUAAUUCCCCGCCCCCUCUUCCCUUCCCUCCUUUAAACUGUUCAGUUAUUUCCAGCUAAAGGCUGCUCAUCGUCUGGAAGAGUCCCCUAGGACCAAACUGCUUACCAAACAAUAACGGUAGCUUUCUGCUUCAGCUAUAAAAUGCCCUUCCUCUAGGAGACGGCUCUUUUGAUGGUAGCGGCUUGGAUUUGCAUAAUGUGGUGCCUGAAGAAAUCAUUAAUACUUUAGAAGAAUGACACCUACAUUGGGAAAAGAUUUCUUGGCCUGGACAUCCUUACACCAAUGGAAAAGCCUGCGCAUGUAUGUGUGCAUAUCUUAGCACACAUGUAGCAUGGGAUAGUGUGGAGGGGAUUGCUGCUUUGCAAUGUCAUCAUUUGCCCUGGAAGGCACGUAACAGAGAUGAGUUAGGGUUUUUAGUACCAUUUUGAUCCAAUAACGACACAGCAAUUAACAAUGUUUUUCUUCUCCUUCAGCAAUCCUUCAGAUUGGAUUUUCCACCAAUAGAUGUGGUCUACAAUCUAUAAAUAGUGUUUCAGCAUAAGGAGUGUGGGGGAGGCACACUGGUGGAGGCAUAGAAAUAGAGGAACAACUCCAUCAGAUUCAACACUAUGAAAGCCCUGCAUGUCCAGGGACCAUGUCUCUACCACUUGUCCACAUUUCCAUUUUGUUGUUGAAAACUCAGAGAUCAGUUUUCCAAAGAAAGAAUGUAAAUGAUGUGCAUUUGCAUUUGCCAGUUGCAAUGCAAUUGUUGCUUCAGGUCACAACAGCUAGCUGCAGGAAAUUCCCUUCCCUCUUUCUGCCAUUUUUCUGAAAACACAGUCCAAGCUUCACCCUGGAAGAGGACUCACUUAUGCCUGCUACCCUGCCCACCCACCACAAUCCCAUGACAUCACCGUUUCCUUAGCAACUCAAGGACUUCAAAGGAGGAAGGAGAUGGAGGAGACAAAGAAUGGGAAAAAAGUAUUCACUUAAAAUUCCAUCUGUGAGGGCCUGUAAAGAUUUCAUAGCCUCUGAUUUGGGGAGAUCAGUCAGCUUCAGGAACUGUUAAGCCUGAGGCAAUAAUAAAGUUCAGAGGUGCUCA
This is a long non-coding RNA of Monodelphis domestica (gray short-tailed opossum), 1171 nucleotides long. RefSeq lists it as uncharacterized. NCBI's taxonomy places the organism in Eukaryota, Metazoa, Chordata, Mammalia, Didelphimorphia, Didelphidae. The record is from RefSeq and is a predicted model, not a curated record.